CGAGGAUGUGCUCUAUCCCUGCAACACCAGCCCUCUGGCUCUCGCUCAGAAUUGCCAGGUGCUUCCCUCCCCAGGGCCUUUGCAUGUGCCAUUCUCUCUGCCCAGAGCACUUUGCUGAGGCUAGAUUGUUCCUGUACCUCCUCUGGGGCUCUGCUUAAUGUCAUGGCCAGGGAGGCCCUGGCCCCCACAGCCACCCUUGCUGAGCUGGUCUCCGUAACUCUUGCCGCUGCCUAAUACACCACGGUUUUCCUUAUUUACCUGUCGACCCUUGCAGGAUGAAGUUUCAGUUUUGCCUCUCUUUGUCAUGACUGUGUCUCCUGCCUAUACCAAAGCAGCCGGCACAAGAAGGUGCACCACCAAGAGCUGUACAGUGGGUGAAUGAAUGAAUCAAUAAAUAAACAAGAAGUGCUCAGCACCAGGUCCUGUACUUAACGCAGCGUGAGCCCUAGGGCGACACUUCGUGCCGAAGAGAAGCUCUGGAUGCUUCCGGCCGUCGGGACCGGGGUCGCCUCCAGGAAGAAGGGAUCCCCGGCUCUUGGUGGACUGCACCCCACCACGCCCAGAGACGGCAGAGCAGUGACACGCAAAGCCCCAGCACUGCGGAGAUCGCAAACACAGAGUCGUCCAAAGGUGUGCUGCGUCCUUCUGGAUCCCACUGCUCCUGCCCCACCGCCCGCUCCCUCUCCCAGCAGCCCUGGGGUCCCCUCCAGCGUGGUGUCUGAGUGGAAUCGUCCAGUGGAUGCUUGCUUGGCCUUCUCUACCUCCACAUCAAAAAGCCCUCUUCACCGCCUUCCUUCAGACUGUGGAGGCCAGGACAGCUGA
RNAcentral lists this long non-coding RNA (822 nucleotides) under Fukomys damarensis (Damara mole-rat). RNAcentral describes it as "lncRNA (ENSFDAG00000033142.1)". Lineage: Eukaryota; Metazoa; Chordata; Mammalia; Rodentia; Bathyergidae. The record is from RNAcentral.